AAAUCGAUAUUUUAUAAUAUCAUUCCAUAUAAGGUUUAGAAAAGAAAUCAGCCUAUUAUAUUGAUUUGGUCAAUAUUUUAUAAUAUCCAUGGAUUAGGUCAAAUUUUGUGGACUUAUCAAUAUGAUAUAUAUGCAUUGAAACACCACGACGACCCAGUUAUGAGUCUGGCGGUGAAAUUUUCCCCCAUUCAUAGCCACUCAGAUUUGGAAUCCCUCCAUCUUCAAAUCCGCACCACUUUCCAUAAUCUUCACAUAGGCAAUUUCUCAAACAGUAGGCGCAAAAUCAGUCUUUGUCUUUGAAUUUCGAUGACACAAAUUAGGGAUGUGCGUCAUCCAUGGCUGCAAACCCUUCUUCUCAACAACUACAGAUUCAUCCAUGGCUGCAAAAGAAGGCAGAUUCAGUAUAUCUCUCUUUCAAUAUCGAGGGCCCUAAUUUGGGA
This 440-nucleotide long non-coding RNA is filed under the name Salvia miltiorrhiza (redroot sage). Its description in RNAcentral is "long non-coding RNA (SMIL_LNC004001)". The record is from RNAcentral. Lineage: Eukaryota; Viridiplantae; Streptophyta; Magnoliopsida; Lamiales; Lamiaceae.